This 497-nucleotide ribosomal RNA is filed under the name uncultured bacterium. RNAcentral describes it as "partial 16S ribosomal RNA". It matches the Rfam family "Bacterial small subunit ribosomal RNA", at positions 29 to 523 of the family's 1533-position model. The record is from RNAcentral.
AUUGAACGCUGGCGGCAUGCUUUACACAUGCAAGUCGAACGGUAACAGGCCGCAAGGUGCUGACGAGUGGCGAACGGGUGAGUAAUGCAUCGGAACGUGCCCAGUCGUGGGGGAUAACGCAGCGAAAGCUGUGCUAAUACCGCAUACGAUCUAUGGAUGAAAGCGGGGGACCGUAAGGCCUCGCGCGAUUGGAGCGGCCGAUGUCAGAUUAGGUAGUUGGUGGGGUAAAGGCCCACCAAGCCAACGAUCUGUAGCUGGUCUGAGAGGACGACCAGCCGCACUGGGACUGGGACACGCCCCAGCCUCCUACGGGAGGCAGCGGUGGGGAAUUUUGGACCAUGGGCGCAAGCCUGAUCAGCAAUGCCGCGUGCAGGAAGAAGGCCUUCGGGUUGUAAACUGCUUUUGUACGGAACGAAAGGGUCCGGGUUAAUACCCUGGGCCGAUGACGGUACCGUAAGAAUAAGCACCGGCUAACUACGUGCCAGCCGCCGCCGUAA